Long non-coding RNA from Lemur catta (Ring-tailed lemur), 2815 nucleotides. RefSeq lists it as uncharacterized. The record is from RefSeq and is a predicted model, not a curated record. NCBI's taxonomy places the organism in Eukaryota, Metazoa, Chordata, Mammalia, Primates, Lemuridae. The transcript has 3 exons.
GGACCGGGCAUUUUCUUCAGCUCAUCAUUUCAAUUGCUGGUGGCCUUGCAUUUCAUUUGGGGGCCUGCAAUUUAAUACUGUUUCCAGGAUUUGGGCCCAGAUCAAACUGGUGUUCUGGGAGCAGGUCUGGCCUCACGCAGACUGUAGCUUUGACUUCUCAGAGCGCAGGGCCCAUGAGGAAACCCCGGCCAUCCCUGCCUCCAGGAGACUCUGCCCAGCCCCUUACCGAGGGUCCUCCCCAGGGGCGAUUUCUGGGCUCUGUCUACUCUAGGCCCAGCCAUAUAGCCAUUCCUUUUCCAUCUGAUGAGUGGAUUUAUAAGGCAACAAAUCACAAUAAUUCAACAGCACACUGUUACCACUCACCUUUUCUUUGAAUUCUUAUAAUGUCUCACGAGUCCAAUUUCUCCAGCAUUCUCCCUUUUUCCUGUAUUUGCCAACCCUGGCCCAUACGGGCUCCCCCUCCAAGCCCAAAUACAACAGAGUGACAAGACAACUUUGGAAACCACUUUCUUUAUGAGAAUCUUGAGUUCCUAAUGAGUCUGGCCUGGGGUGGGCUAGACCAGUGCAAAUAUUCCAGGAGUGCGGACAGGAGAGGCCAAGGGCAGUGUGGGAGAUGGGGGACACCAAGGGUGGGGGAAUGAGGUGUCCUAAUGAUUCCUAGACCUACAGUCCCUGAGGAACCAUGUGACUGUCACACUGACCUUUUGGACCUGUUGGGAUGAAUAUUAAAAGGUGGCUGCUUGUUCUCUGUCUAAUCAGGGUUGGUGAGUGGGAGUUUGGCCAGCACCAGUUGGGCUGUGAGGGAUGCUUUGACAUCAGCCCAACUCUGCCUAGAAACACAGGGUGACAACUGGAAACAACUCCACUCUGGCUUGGGGAGUGACUCAGAGAAGGCCCUGAGUGCCCCUUGCUUUCCUCCCAAGGAGGCUCUUCUCCCACCUGCCUCAAAGCUACAGCAAGAGUGUGGGCUUUGGGGAAGUCAGGUUUCAGGCCCCACACGACUCACCAGCUGUCACUUGGUUUCUCUGAGCCUCAUUUCUCUUCUGUAAAACAAGGGCCCCUUCCCUGUAGGAUUGUUGUGAGGAAUAAAGACAGCGCAUCUGAAGGAAUUGGCACAGAGGAGACCCUUAGUAAACAGCAGCUAAUCUGGGGAUUUGGAGAGGACACAGCCCCCAAACUGUCCAAAGAGCAUUCCUUAUUUCAAGGCCACUAGGGGGAAAUGGUCUUGCCCUUCAUCUGCAGGUAGCCUUCAGCAGAACACGCCAUCCGGGGGGCUGUCUGUGUCUUGUUUCCUUUUAAAUUUUCAAUAACUUGAUGCCAGCUGUUCCAGUAUUACAUACCUCACUGGCAGGAAGCUGCCUUCCUCCCACUACAGUGCCAACUGUGAAAAGCAGGGAGCCUGUGCAUGCCUUCUUUUCAGACAAAAAUAGUUACCAGAUCACCUGUGGCCUUCCCAUCUCUGAUGGAGAUAAUCCCAACUCAGUUCCUCCCUUCACCCCUCCCAAACCCACUUUGCUCUGGGUUUCAAUCCAGUUUUUUCCACCUCCCUCUUCAGAUCUGGAGCCUCCUCCAGUCCUUGCCCAGCACUGAGCUGGGUACCCAGUUCUCUCCAGAGACAGCCCCACCAUGGAAAGGAGGCAAGGCCUUCCCUGACAUCACCAAGCCUUCAUCCCCCACUGUCAACACUACUGCCUGGGCAGGUGCGAGAGAAGGAGAGCAGCCAAAACCUGAUGCAGCUGGCGCAGCCUCCAGAGGGCAAGGGUGAAGGAGCAUGGAGACGAGGACGGUCUCACUUGGAGCUGGGAGCCGAGUGAUCUGCGUGGAGGAAGGUGGCGGUGGUGUAGUUCUGGAACAGAGGCUGCAGGAACAUGCCAAUGGUGCCAAAGACACAGACAAAGACAAAGAUCCAGAGGAACAGGCGGUCGAUCACCAUGGCGACGUACUUCCAGUCCUCACUCACCUGGGGACGAAGGAGGCCCAGGUGUCAGUCACAUGAUGCAGGAUGGGCUUUGAACGGGUACAAGCGGUUCCCACCACACAUACACACACCCUAGUCCUCUCCCUCAGUGGAACGCUUUAGAGUGACUUUCUAAAGCAUGGCUCUGAUCUCAGCAGCCUGUAAGCCUCCGGUGGCCACACUGCCUUCAGGGCCCACCCAAACUCCCAAGUUUGGACUCCAGACCCAGCCAUGACAAAUAUGAGCCUAUCUUCUCCCGCCCUACAACUCAGACUUACCAAACCCUAAUGUGUCCUCUCAGGUGUCUGUGCUUUUGGAUUUCCUUUGUGGCUGGGAAUUCUGAUCUCCCUUUCUCUACCUUUCUCCUACACAUCCUUCAAAGCCCAAAUCAAACAUCACCUUCUCUAUGAGGGAUUCCCUGACCCCCAGAUCAGAAUGAAGCACUGUCCCCCCUGGGUUCCCUCAGCACUGUUUACGCAUCUCCAUCACAGUAUUUUUACUGUACUGUAUUGUUUCAACUUGCGUGUCUGUCCCCCUACUAAGCUACAAGCUCCUAAACCACAGGGAUCCUGUCUGAUUCAUCUCUGUAAUCCCAGCAUCUGGAACAGGGUGCCCCGUAACUGGGUGCUGAGUUAAGGAGUGAAUGGCUGCCUCAGCAGGCCUUGCUCGUUUUACAACUGCACAGGAAGCCCCAUCCAACAGCAUCACCUCAAGCACAGAGGCCCCAGAGGUUGAGAACUGGGUUCCAGAUGUGAACAAAUCAGUCAAAAAGAUAAUACUGGCCGGGUUCAGUGGCUCACGCCUAUAAUCCCAGCACUUUGGGAGGCCAAGGUGGGAGGACUGCUUGAUCCCAGAAGU